RNAcentral lists this ribosomal RNA (901 nucleotides) under uncultured organism. RNAcentral's name for it is "SSU rRNA". It matches the Rfam family "Bacterial small subunit ribosomal RNA", at positions 584 to 1486 of the family's 1533-position model. The record is from RNAcentral.
UAAGUCAGAUGUGAAAUCCCCGGGCUCAACCUGGGAACUGCAUCUGAUACUGGCAAGCUUGAGUCUCGUAGAGGGGGGUAGAAUUCCAGGUGUAGCGGUGAAAUGCGUAGAGAUCUGGAGGAAUACCGGUGGCGAAGGCGGCCCCCUGGACGAAGACUGACGCUCAGGUGCGAAAGCGUGGGGAGCAAACAGGAUUAGAUACCCUGGUAGUCCACGCCGUAAACGAUGUCGACUUGGAGGUUGUGCCCUUGAGGCGUGGCUUCCGGAGCUAACGCGUUAAGUCGACCGCCUGGGGAGUACGGCCGCAAGGUUAAAACUCAAAUGAAUUGACGGGGGCCCGCACAAGCGGUGGAGCAUGUGGUUUAAUUCGAUGCAACGCGAAGAACCUUACCUGGUCUUGACAUCCACGGAAGUUUUCAGAGAUGAGAAUGUGCCUUCGGGAAUCGUGAGACAGGUGCUGCAUGGCUGUCGUCAGCUCGUGUUGUGAAAUGUUGGGUUAAGUCCCGCAACGAGCGCAACCCUUAUCCUUUGUUGCCAGCGGUCCGGCCGGGAACUCAAAGGAGACUGCCAGUGAUAAACUGGAGGAAGGUGGGAUGACGUCAAGUCAUCAUGGCCCUUACGACCAGGGCUACACACGUGCUACAAUGGCGCAUACAAAGAGAAGCGACCUCGCGAGAGCAAGCGGACCUCAUAAAGUGCGUCGUAGUCCGGAUUGGAGUCUGCAACUCGACUCCAUGAAGUCGGAAUCGCUAGUAAUCGUGGAUCAGAAUGCCACGGUGAAUACGUUCCCGGGCCUUGUACACACCGCCCGUCACACCAUGGGAGUGGGUUGCAAAAGAAGUAGGUAGCUUAACCUUCGGGAGGGCGCUUACCACUCUGUGAUUCAUGACUGGGGUGAAGU